RNAcentral lists this ribosomal RNA (469 nucleotides) under uncultured bacterium. RNAcentral describes it as "partial 16S ribosomal RNA". It matches the Rfam family "Bacterial small subunit ribosomal RNA", at positions 28 to 507 of the family's 1533-position model. The record is from RNAcentral.
GACGAACGCUGGCGGCGUGCUUAACACAUGCAAGUCGAACGGAAAGGCCCUGCUUUUGUGGGGUGCUCGAGUGGCGAACGGGUGAGUAACACGUGAGUAACCUGCCCUUGACUUUGGGAUAACUUCAGGAAACUGGGGCUAAUACCGGAUAGGAGCUCCUGCUGCAUGGUGGGGGUUGGAAAGUUUCGGCGGUUGGGGAUGGACUCGCGGCUUAUCAGCUUGUUGGUGGGGUAGUGGCUUACCAAGGCUUUGACGGGUAGCCGGCCUGAGAGGGUGACCGGGCCCCAUGGGGACUGAGAACGGGCCAAGACCCCACGGGGGGGCAGAGGGGGGAAAUAUGGCAAAGGGGGGGGAGGCUGGAGGCGGCACCGCCGGGUGGGGAAGGACGGCUUGGGGGUGUAAACCCGUUUGCGCCUGGAAGGAGGGGGGGGGGAGGGUAAGGGAUAAGAAAGCCCGGGCUAACUAGGUG